This 253-nucleotide ribosomal RNA is filed under the name uncultured bacterium. Its description in RNAcentral is "partial 16S ribosomal RNA". It matches the Rfam family "Bacterial small subunit ribosomal RNA", at positions 524 to 776 of the family's 1533-position model. The record is from RNAcentral.
UACGUAGGUGGCGAGCGUUGUCCGGAAUUACUGGGUGUAAAGGGCGUGUAGGCGGGAAGGCAAGUCAGAUGUGAAAUACCGUGGCUUAACCACGGGGCUGCAUCUGAAACUGUUUUUCUUGAGUGUCGGAGAGGAAAGUGGAAUUCCCAGUGUAGCGGUGAAAUGCGUAGAUAUUGGGAGGAACACCAGUGGCGAAGGCGACUUUCUGGACGAUAACUGACGCUGAGGCGCGAAAGCGUGGGGAGCAAACAGG